CGUACGUACUUGUGUGGGGGUGUGCACGUGUACGUGGAAAUGCAUGUGUGUGCAUGUACAUGUAAGUGGGAGCACAUGCGCGUGCAUGUAGCUAGAGUAUGUGCGCACACGUGUGUGUACGUGCACGUGCCUGUGUGCAUACGUGUGUGUGCACGUAGGUGGGAGUAUGCAUGUGCGCAUGUGGAUAUACUGUAUGCACGUGUGCAAGUACACGCGUGUCUGUGCAUACAUAUGUGUGCAUGCAGGUGGGAGUGUGCAUGUGUGUGUGUAGAUAUGCCAUAUGUGUGCACUUGUGCAUAUACAUAUGUGACACACGGUUCGUACAUAUACAUUGUGUGCAUGUGUGUACAUGUGCGAGAAUGCACGUGGGUAUGGAUGUGUGGACGUGUGCAUGGAAAUGCAUGUGUGCAUGCACAGGUCUGUGUGUCCGUGCACGUGUGCGUGUAGGUGUUUCUGUACAUGUUCACAGGUGGGGGUGUGUGCACAUGUACACGAAUGUGUAGGUAGGUGCACGUGGCACACGUACAUGAGUAUGUAGUAGGUGUGCGGGCACAUGUACAUGCAUGUGUAGUAGGUGUGUGUGUGCACACGUACAGGAGUGUGGUGUGUACAUGUGCAUACAUAGAUGUGCACGUGUGCGUGUACAGGUCCAGGGGCAGGUCUGCGUGUGCAAGGAGCUGGCUGUUGACGCCUGGGGUCGACUACGUCCUAUCGAAGACGUGGGGCCAGCGCGGCGCACAGGAUUCAAGCUGUGGGCACCCCAUGGAUUUGCAGAGCAGCUGGAGGAUGUUCCCUGUUUCAUUUUCAAUUCCCUUCUUAAUGACGUGCAACAUUUUAUUGGCUCGUCUGGUCGCUGCGCUGCCGCGGUUGGAGAGCUAUUGACACUGGCUCUAAUGUUCCCGAGUCAUAAUGGCCAGGUCAGGACCCAGCGCCGAGGAAGUCAAGCACGGGUUAUUUUUCCCGGGAGCAUUCCCUUGCACCCGUCAAUGGUGAAGUUCAUCAGCCCAGGUUUUGUCCGCUCACUGAGCUCGGUGAGACCUUUGUGCAGCUCUUUUGCAUCCGCUUGGGACGUGACUCCCCAGAACCAUGUCCUUAUGCCUGAAAAAGGGUGUUUGUGCCCCAAAGCUUGUAAAGAACAAUUUUUCCAACUCUUAUAAAAGAGAUCACGUUGACCCAGGGAA
Alligator mississippiensis (American alligator) is the source of this 1181-nucleotide long non-coding RNA. RefSeq lists it as uncharacterized. The transcript is spliced from 2 exons. Lineage: Eukaryota; Metazoa; Chordata; Crocodylia; Alligatoridae. The record is from RefSeq and is a predicted model, not a curated record.